Molecule: ribosomal RNA, 452 nt
Filed under: uncultured bacterium
Lineage: Bacteria
Description: bacterial SSU rRNA
Rfam family: Bacterial small subunit ribosomal RNA
Source: RNAcentral
CAGCAGUGGGGAAUAUUGCACAAUGGGCGCAAGCCUGAUGCAGCCAUGCCGCGUGUAUGAAGAAGGCCUUCGGGUUGUAAAGUACUUUCAGCAGUGAGGAAGGUGGGUAUGUUAAUAGCAUAUUCAUUUGACGUUAGCUGCAGAAGAAGCACCGGCUAACUCCGUGCCAGCAGCCGCGGUAAUACGGAGGGUGCGAGCGUUAAUCGGAAUUACUGGGCGUAAAGCGCAUGCAGGUGGUUUGUUAAGUCAGAUGUGAAAGCCCGGGGCUCAACCUCGGAAUUGCAUUUGAAACUGGACAAACUAGAGUACUGUAGAGGGGGUAGAAUUUCAGGUGUAGCGGUGAAAUGCGUAGAGAUCUGAAGGAAUACCGGUGGCGAAGGCGGCCCCCUGGACAGAUACUGACACUCAGAUGCGAAAGCGUGGGGAGCAAACAGGAUUAGAUACCCUGGUAG